GCUGGGCGUGGUGGCUCUCGCCUGCAAUCCCAGCACUUUGGGAGGCUGAGGUGGGGGGAUCACCUGAGGUCAGGAGUUCGAGAGCAGCCUGACCAACAUGGAGAAACCCCAUCUCUA
RNAcentral lists this non-coding RNA (117 nucleotides) under Gorilla gorilla gorilla (western lowland gorilla). The record is from Rfam by way of RNAcentral. Lineage: Eukaryota; Metazoa; Chordata; Mammalia; Primates; Hominidae.